UUCACCAGCCAUAUCACCCUGCAUAUGGUUGCUUACUGUAGCUAAGCAGAGUUGAGCCUGGUCAGUACCUGGAUGAGAGACCACAUGGGAAAACUAGGUUGCUGUUAGAA
Molecule: ribosomal RNA, 110 nt
Filed under: Danio rerio (zebrafish)
Lineage: Eukaryota; Metazoa; Chordata; Actinopteri; Cypriniformes; Danionidae
Source: RNAcentral